UCAGUCUGAAAGUUACACCCAAAAUAAGGCU
This 31-nucleotide non-coding RNA is filed under the name Homo sapiens (human). Lineage: Eukaryota; Metazoa; Chordata; Mammalia; Primates; Hominidae. The record is from RNAcentral.